UCGGGAAUUUUGGGCAAUGGGCGAAAGCCUGACCCAGCAACGCCGCGUGAAGGAUGAAGUCCCUCGGGAUGUAAACUUCGGAAAUAUGGGAAGAAUAAAUGACGGUACCAUACCUAAGGUCCGGCUAACUACGUGCCAGCAGCCGCGGUAAUACGAAGGGGGCUAGCGUUGUUCGGAAUUACUGGGCGUAAAGCGCACGCAGGCGGAUUGAUAAGUCAGGGGUGAAAUCCCGGGGCUCAACCUCGGAAUUGCCUUUGAUACUGCCAGUCUUGAGUCCGGGAGAGGUGAGUGGAAUUCCUAGUGUAGAGGUGAAAUUCGUAGAUAUUAGGAAGAACACCAGUGGCGAAGGCGGCUCACUGGCCCGGUACUGACGCUCAGGUGCGAAAGCGUGGGGAGCAAACAGGAUUAGAUACCCUGGUAGUCCACGCCGUAAACGAUGGGUACUAGGCGCCGGGGGGAGCGACCCCUUCGGUGCCGUCGCUAACGCAAUAAGUACCCCGCCUGGGGAGUACGGCCGCAAGGCUG
Molecule: ribosomal RNA, 525 nt
Filed under: uncultured bacterium
Lineage: Bacteria
Description: bacterial SSU rRNA
Rfam family: Bacterial small subunit ribosomal RNA
Source: RNAcentral